UACGAAGGGGGCUAGCGUUGUUCGGAAUUACUGGGCGUAAAGCGCGUGUAGGCGGGUCCUUAAGUCAGGGGUGAAAUGCCAAGGCUCAACCUUGGAACUGCCUUUGAUACUGGGGAUCUUGAGUCCGGGAGAGGUGAGUGGAACUGCGAGUGUAGAGGUGAAAUUCGUAGAUAUUCGCAAGAACACCAGUGGCGAAGGCGGCUUACUGGUCCGGUUCUGACGCUGAGGUGCGAAAGCGUGGGGAGCAAACAGG
This 253-nucleotide ribosomal RNA is filed under the name uncultured bacterium. RNAcentral describes it as "partial 16S ribosomal RNA". It matches the Rfam family "Bacterial small subunit ribosomal RNA", at positions 524 to 776 of the family's 1533-position model. The record is from RNAcentral.